This 403-nucleotide ribosomal RNA is filed under the name Verrucomicrobiota bacterium. RNAcentral's name for it is "Verrucomicrobia bacterium partial 16S ribosomal RNA". It matches the Rfam family "Bacterial small subunit ribosomal RNA", at positions 355 to 776 of the family's 1533-position model. Lineage: Bacteria; Pseudomonadati; Verrucomicrobiota. The record is from RNAcentral.
UGGGGAAUAUUGCACAAUGGGCGCAAGCCUGAUGCAGCAACGCCGCGUGAACGAUGAAGGUCUUCGGAUCGUAAAGUUCUGUUGCAGGGGAAGAUAAUGACGGUACCCUGUGAGGAAGCCCCGGCUAACUACGUGCCAGCAGCCGCGGUAAUACGUAGGGGGCUAGCGUUAUCCGGAUGUACUGGGCGUAAAGGGUGCGUAGGUGGUCUUUCAAGUCGGUGGUUAAAGGCUACGGCUCAACCGUAGUUAGCCUCCGAAACUGGAAGACUUGAGUGCAGGAGAGGAAAGUGGAAUUCCCAGUGUAGCGGUGAAAUGCGUAGAUAUUGGGAGGAACACCAGUAGCGAAGGCGGCUUUCUGGACUGCAACUGACACUGAGGCACGAAAGCGUGGGUAGCAAACAGG